Molecule: microRNA, 23 nt
Filed under: Acyrthosiphon pisum (pea aphid)
Lineage: Eukaryota; Metazoa; Arthropoda; Insecta; Hemiptera; Aphididae
Description: api-miR-3033
Source: miRBase by way of RNAcentral
UCCACGGACAUCCAUUUUUGUGA